UCGGGAAUUUUGGGCAAUGGGCGAAAGCCUGACCCAGCAACGCCGCGUGAGGGAUGAAGUAUUUCGGUAUGUAAACCUCGAAAGAAUGGGAAGAAUAAAUGACGGUACCAUUUAUAAGCUCCGGCUAACUACGUGCCAGCAGCCGCGGUAAUACGUAGGGAGCAAGCGUUGUUCGGAUUUACUGGGCGUAAAGGGCGCGUAGGCGGCGCGGUAAGUCACUUGUGAAAUCUCUGAGCUUAACUCAGAACGGCCAAGUGAUACUGCUGUGCUAGAGUGCGGAAGAGGCAGCCGGAAUUCUUGGUGUAGCGGUGAAAUGCGUAGAUAUCAAGAGGAACACCUGAGGCGAAGGCGGGUUGCUGGGCCGACACUGACGCUGAUGCGCGAAAGCCAGGGGAGCAAACG
This 402-nucleotide ribosomal RNA is filed under the name uncultured bacterium. RNAcentral's name for it is "bacterial SSU rRNA". It matches the Rfam family "Bacterial small subunit ribosomal RNA", at positions 355 to 774 of the family's 1533-position model. The record is from RNAcentral.